UACGUAGGGCGCAAGCGUUAUCCGGAAUUAUUGGGCGUAAAGGGCGCGUAGGCGCCAUGCGUGUCUUCCGUGAAAUCCCUCGGCUUAACUGAGGACGUGCGGAAGAAACUGCAAGGCUCGAGUCCGGGAGAGGGGGGUGGAAUUCCCAGUGUAGCGGUGAAAUGCGUAGAUAUUGGGAGGAACACCGGUGGCGAAGGCGGCCCCCUGGACCGGUACUGACGCUGAGGCGCGAAAGCGUGGGUAGCAAACCGGG
This 253-nucleotide ribosomal RNA is filed under the name uncultured bacterium. RNAcentral's name for it is "partial 16S ribosomal RNA". It matches the Rfam family "Bacterial small subunit ribosomal RNA", at positions 524 to 777 of the family's 1533-position model. The record is from RNAcentral.